CUAGAGCAAAGGAUAGACAGCCCUGCUUCGGUAGGGUUGUCGUCGGGCCUCUCGAAGAAGCUCGGUCCUGAACUCCACCCUUGAAUAAAUUACCUUUGUUGCUUUGGCGGGCCGCCUCGCGCCAGCGGCUUCGGCUGUUUGAGUGCCCGCCAGAGGACCACAACUCUUGUUUUUAGUGAUGUCUGAGUACUAUAUAAUAGUUA
This 203-nucleotide unclassified non-coding RNA is filed under the name soil metagenome. RNAcentral's name for it is "partial internal transcribed spacer 1". The record is from RNAcentral.